UCGAGGAUCAUUCGCAAUGCGCGAAAGCGUGACGAUGCGACGCUGCGUGGAGGAUGAAGGCCUUCGGGUCGUAAACUCCUGUCAUUCGGGAACAAUGCCAUGGGAAUUAACAGUUUCUGUGGAGGGAUAGUACCGGAAGAGGAAGUCACGGCUAACUCUGUGCCAGCAGCCGCGGUAAUACAGAGGUGGCAAGCGUUGUUCGGAUUUACUGGGCGUAAAGGGUGCGUAGGCGGUUUUGCGUGUCGGAUGUGAAAUUCUGCCGCUCAAUGGCAGAACUGCGUUCGAAACUACAGAACUUGAGUGCAGGAGAGGAAAGCGGAAUUCUUGGUGUAGCGGUGGAAUGCGUUGAUAUCAAGAGGAACACCGGUGGCGAAGGCGGCUUUCUGGAAUGCAACUGACGCUGAGGCACGAAAGUUGGGGGAGCAAACAGG
Molecule: ribosomal RNA, 431 nt
Filed under: uncultured bacterium
Lineage: Bacteria
Description: bacterial SSU rRNA
Rfam family: Bacterial small subunit ribosomal RNA
Source: RNAcentral